Molecule: ribosomal RNA, 365 nt
Filed under: Polyplax arvicanthis
Lineage: Eukaryota; Metazoa; Arthropoda; Insecta; Psocodea; Polyplacidae
Description: partial 12S ribosomal RNA
Source: RNAcentral
CUAUUUAAAAGUCUUAACCUUAAUUGAUAGUAUGGCGGUUGCUGACCCGACCAGAGGCACAUGCUGAUAAUCGAAACUGCACGAACAUCUUACUUUCUCUAAUAGCUACGCUAGUAUUUUGUACAUCGCUGUUCUAGGACUAAAUGUUCAAGUUUAGUCUUCUCCCUUAAAAUUAAAGUUUAUUACUGAUUUAGGGAAAAAAACAAGUCAAGACGCAGAGAAUGGGGAAGAAAAAGUGUGUGUCAGUAUUUAUAUAAUAUUCUAUUUACUUCACUCUUUUCUGAAAUCGGAUAAAGGGGAAAGAAUUUGGUAGUAAGAACGAUUCAUCAAAUUGUUCUGAAUAGGCAAUCAGCAGUGUACACACC